CGGCUCGGCUGUUGUUCGCCCACAGCUUUUCAAGCAAUUAGAAGCGUUUAGCGAAAGCUUAUUGUGGAUUAGUUGCAAUGGCGCCGGGGAAAGCUGACAGUUCAAAAAAGCCUGAUCCAAAGGCACAGGCUGCCAAGGUUGCAAAAGCGGUGAAGUCUGGUCCAACCUUCAAGAAGAAGGCCAAUAAGAUCAGAACUAAGGUUACAUUUCAUCGCCCAAAGACAUUGAAGAAGGAGAGGAAUCCCAAGUACCCUCGCAUUAGUGCCCCA
RNAcentral lists this unclassified non-coding RNA (269 nucleotides) under Hevea brasiliensis (rubber tree). Lineage: Eukaryota; Viridiplantae; Streptophyta; Magnoliopsida; Malpighiales; Euphorbiaceae. The record is from RNAcentral.